GAUGAACGCUGGCGGCGUGCCUAAUACAUGCAAGUCGAGCGAACAGAUGAGGAGCUUGCUCCUCUGACGUUAGCGGCGGACGGGUGAGUAACACGUGGAUAACCUACCUAUAAGACUGGGAUAACUUCGGGAAACCGGAGCUAAUACCGGAUAAUAUAUUGAACCGCAUGGUUCAAUAGUGAAAGACGGUUUUGCUGUCACUUAUAGAUGGAUCCGCGCCGCAUUAGCUAGUUGGUAAGGUAACGGCUUACCAAGGCGACGAUGCGUAGCCGACCUGAGAGGGUGAUCGGCCACACUGGAACUGAGACACGGUCCAGACUCCUACGGGAGGCAGCAGUAGGGAAUCUUCCGCAAUGGGCGAAAGCCUGACGGAGCAACGCCGCGUGAGUGAUGAAGGUCUUCGGAUCGUAAAACUCUGUUAUUAGGGAAGAACAAACGUGUAAGUAACUAUGCACGUCUUGACGGUACCUAAUCAGAAAGCCACGGCUAACUACGUG
RNAcentral lists this ribosomal RNA (497 nucleotides) under uncultured bacterium. RNAcentral describes it as "partial 16S ribosomal RNA". It matches the Rfam family "Bacterial small subunit ribosomal RNA", at positions 28 to 507 of the family's 1533-position model. The record is from RNAcentral.